This 785-nucleotide small RNA is filed under the name Oryza sativa Japonica Group (Japanese rice). Its description in RNAcentral is "misc RNA Os05g0237200". Lineage: Eukaryota; Viridiplantae; Streptophyta; Magnoliopsida; Poales; Poaceae. The record is from RNAcentral.
GCACUACCAUCUAGGCCUGCGCCGACGCCGGAAACGCUGCCGCUCCGUCUCCGGCGCCACCUUUGUCCAGCCUCCUUGCCUCACCUAGCCACGCAUAGGCCACCACGGCGACGAGGGAGCUCAGCCGCAUUGCUCAGCGCUGGUGAUAGCCACCCCGCACACGCCUGGCCGUACGCGUGCUGCCGGCCGCCGCAGCGCCUCCACCACGGUGCUGGCCUCCGCAGCCGCCAGCCUCCGCCGUCGCCGGCCAGCCACCUCCGCACGAGCUCCGCCGCUGCACAGCGGAAGCCACCUCCGCGCGCCUCCGUCGGCCGCCGUCGCCGCGAGCUGCCACCACCUCCCCUCGCCGGCCGCAGCCGACGCGCUGCCCGCCUCCACUGGCAGCCGGACGCAGAGCACCGUCAUCGGCCACAUCCGCGCCCGGGGGGGUCGGAUCCGUCUCCGGCGUGCCCGGAUCCGUCGCAGCCACCUCCAUCGACCGCCGCCUCCGUCGACCACCGCCCCGUCGACGCUGCUCCGCCUCCAACGCCGAGGAAGGGCUCCCCGAGGAUGUUCUCCCCGCCGCCGCCUUCCCGGCCGGCCGCGCGGUUUCCGGCGGCUGGCUCCGGCGGCGGCGAGGCGGCUAGAGGCCGGCGAGGUGGCGGCGCGGGCGGCUAGGGUUUUCUCCCCCGAGCCGCCCGCGUGAGGGCGACGUGAGGGUCACCAUCGAUCAUCAUCACACAACUUUAGUACCAUAUAUGUGCUGAAUGAAAGCAGGAUAGAAAUAAAUUGGCAUUUUUGUUAUC